RNAcentral lists this ribosomal RNA (497 nucleotides) under uncultured bacterium. RNAcentral's name for it is "partial 16S ribosomal RNA". It matches the Rfam family "Bacterial small subunit ribosomal RNA", at positions 28 to 507 of the family's 1533-position model. The record is from RNAcentral.
GAUGAACGCUGGCGGCGUGCCUAAUACAUGCAAGUCGAGCGAACAGAUAAGGAGCUUGCUCCUUUGACGUUAGCAGCGGACGGGUGAGUAACACGUGGGUAACCUACCUAUAAGACUGGGAUAACUCCGGGAAACCGGAGCUAAUGCCGGAUAACAUUUAGAACCGCAUGGUUCUAAAGUGAAAGAUGGUUUUGCUAUCACUUAUAGAUGGACCCGCGCCGUAUUAGCUAGUUGGUAAGGUAACGGCUUACCAAGGCAACGAUACGUAGCCGACCUGAGAGGGUGAUCGGCCACACUGGAACUGAGACACGGUCCAGACUCCUACGGGAGGCAGCAGUAGGGAAUCUUCCGCAAUGGGCGAAAGCCUGACGGAGCAACGCCGCGUGAGUGAUGAAGGUCUUCGGAUCGUAAAACUCUGUUAUUAGGGAAGAAUAAAUGUGUAAGUAACUGUGCACGUCUUGACGGUACCUAAUCAGAAAGCCACGGCUAACUACGUG